This 292-nucleotide ribosomal RNA is filed under the name uncultured microorganism. RNAcentral describes it as "partial 16S ribosomal RNA". It matches the Rfam family "Bacterial small subunit ribosomal RNA", at positions 505 to 796 of the family's 1533-position model. The record is from RNAcentral.
GUGCCAGCAGCCGCGGUAAUACGUAGGUGGCAAGCGUUGUCCGGAAUUAUUGGGCGUAAAGCGCGCGCAGGCGGAUUGGUCAGUCUGUCUUAAAAGUUCGGGGCUUAACCCCGUGAUGGGAUGGAAACUGCCAAUCUAGAGUAUCGGAGAGGAAAGUGGAAUUCCCUAGUGUAGCGGUGAAAUGCGUAGAUAUUAGGAAGAACACCAGUGGCGAAGGCGACUUUCUGGACGAAAACUGACGCUGAGGCGCGAAAGCCAGGGGAGCGAACGGGAUUAGAUACCCCGGUAGUCC